CAGUCGCCACGGUGAUACGAAGGGGGCUAGCGUUGUUCGGAUUUACUGGGCGUAAAGGGCGCGUAGGCGGUUCAGCAAGUCUCGUGUGAAAUCUUCGGGCUCAACCCGAAGUCUGCACGGGAAACUACUGGGCUUGAGUAAUGGAGAGGUGAGUGGAAUUUCCGGUGUAGCGGUGAAAUGCGUAGAUAUCGGAAGGAACACCUGUGGCGAAAGCGGCUCACUGGACAUUUACUGACGCUGAUGCACGAAAGCUAGGGGAGCAAACAGGAUUAGAUACCCCAGUAGUCCCUGUCUCUUAUAC
Molecule: ribosomal RNA, 301 nt
Filed under: uncultured bacterium
Lineage: Bacteria
Description: partial 16S ribosomal RNA
Rfam family: Bacterial small subunit ribosomal RNA
Source: RNAcentral